This 201-nucleotide unclassified non-coding RNA is filed under the name Hevea brasiliensis (rubber tree). Lineage: Eukaryota; Viridiplantae; Streptophyta; Magnoliopsida; Malpighiales; Euphorbiaceae. The record is from RNAcentral.
UCUCUCCCACAACUUCAUAGUAUGGCUCAAUUCUACAUAAUGACUCGUUAAAUGUUAUUGUUCUCAACUAGUACAUGCACCCAAAAUCAACACGCCGGAAACAUAGCUUACCAAAUAUGACAAGUUACAGUCAACUACCUGUGCUACAACUACAAAGCAACACCUAUCUCACCUGAUACGGAUUAAACCCUGGCAUCAUUG